RNAcentral lists this ribosomal RNA (490 nucleotides) under uncultured bacterium. RNAcentral's name for it is "bacterial SSU rRNA". It matches the Rfam family "Bacterial small subunit ribosomal RNA", at positions 37 to 507 of the family's 1533-position model. The record is from RNAcentral.
UGGCGGCAUGCCUAACACAUGCAAGUCGAACGGAGAUUAUUUCGGUAAUCUUAGUGGCGAACGGGUGAGUAACGCGUAGGCAACCUGCCCUUUAGUUGGGGACAACAUCCCGAAAGGGGUGCUAAUACCGAAUGUGACAGUUUUUCCGCAUGGGAUUACUGUGAAAAGAUGGCCUCUAUUUAUAAGCUAUCGCUAAAGGAUGGGCCUGCGUCUGAUUAGCUAGUUGGUGGGGUAACGGCCUACCAAGGCGACGAUCAGUAGCCGGUCUGAGAGGAUGAACGGCCACAUUGGGACUGAGACACGGCCCAGACUCCUACGGGAGGCAGCAGUGGGGAAUCUUCCGCAAUGGGCGAAAGCCUGACGGAGCAAUGCCGCGUGAGUGAUGAAGGAAUUCGUUCCGUAAAGCUCUUUUGUUUAUGACGAAUGUGCAGAUUGUGAAUAAUGAUCUGUAAUGACGGUAGUAAACGAAUAAGCCACGGCUAACUACGUG